AGUGAACGCUGGCGGCGUGCCUAAUACAUGCAAGUCGAAGGAAGUGGCGCACGGGUGAGUAAUACGUGGGUAACCUGCCCUCCUUUUUGGGAUAAGCCUUGGAAACGGGGUCUAAUACCGAAUAAAGGGGGAUGGGCUCGCGGCCUAUCAGCUUGUUGGAGGGGUGAUGGGCUACCAAGGCGGUGACGGGUAGCCGGCCUGAGAGGGUGACCGGGGACAUUGGGACGGAGCUACGGCCUAGACGCCUACGGGGGGGAGCAUUGGGGGAUAUUGCACAAUGCGCGAAAGCCUGAUGCAGCGUGGCCGCGUGGGGGAUGAAGGCUUUCGGGUUGUAAACCUCUUGCGCUAGCGAACCGGUAGGUGGAGAAGAAGCGCCGGCUAACUACGUGCCAGCAGCCGCGGUAAUUC
RNAcentral lists this ribosomal RNA (408 nucleotides) under uncultured bacterium. Its description in RNAcentral is "partial 16S ribosomal RNA". It matches the Rfam family "Bacterial small subunit ribosomal RNA", at positions 30 to 526 of the family's 1533-position model. The record is from RNAcentral.